AUCCUGGCGGCGUGCUUACCAUGCAGUCGAACGAUGAUCCCAGCUUGCUGGGGGAUUAGUGGCGAACGGGUGAGUAACACGUGAGUAACCUGCCCUUAACUCUGGGAUAAGCCUGGGAAACUGGGUCUAAUACCGGAUAUGACUCCUCAUCGCAUGGUGGGGGGUGGAAAGCUUUAUUGUGGUUUUGGAUGGACUCGCGGCCUAUCAGCUUGUUGGUGAGGUAAUGGCUCACCAAGGCGACGACGGGUAGCCGGCCUGAGAGGGUGACCGGCCACACUGGGACUGAGACACGGCCCAGACUCCUACGGGAGGCAGCAGUGGGGAAUAUUGCACAAUGGGCGAAAGCCUGAUGCAGCGACGCCGCGUGAGGGAUGACGGCCUUCGGGUUGUAAACCUCUUUCAGUAGGGAAGAAGCGAAAGUGACGGUACCUGCAGAAGAAGCGCCGGCUAACUACGUGCCAGCAGCCGCGGUAAUACGUAGGGCGCAAGCGUUAUCCGGAAUUAUUGGGCGUAAAGAGCUCGUAGGCGGUUUGUCGCGUCUGCCGUGAAAGUCCGGGGCUCAACUCCGGAUCUGCGGUGGGUACGGGCAGACUAGAGUGAUGUAGGGGAGACUGGAAUUCCUGGGUGUAGCGGUGAAAAUGCGCAGUAUAUCAGGAGGAACACCGGAUGGCGAAGGCAGGUCUCUGGGCAUUAACUGACGCUGAGGCAGCGAAAGCAUGCGGGAGCGAACAGGAUUAGAUACCCUGGUUAGGUCCCAUGACCGCCCAU
Molecule: ribosomal RNA, 768 nt
Filed under: Arthrobacter sp. A-43p
Lineage: Bacteria; Bacillati; Actinomycetota; Actinomycetes; Micrococcales; Micrococcaceae
Description: bacterial SSU rRNA
Rfam family: Bacterial small subunit ribosomal RNA
Source: RNAcentral